This 119-nucleotide ribosomal RNA is filed under the name Ornithorhynchus anatinus (platypus). The record is from RNAcentral. Lineage: Eukaryota; Metazoa; Chordata; Mammalia; Monotremata; Ornithorhynchidae.
GUCCAUGGCUAUACCGUCCUGAACACCCCUGAUAUCGUCUCAUUUCAGAAGCUAAACUGGAUCAGGCCUGGGUAAUACUUGGAUGGGAGACUGACUGAGAAUACCAGGCACUGGAGCCU